UCCAAUACUGUCUGAAGGUGAGGAUUGCC
Molecule: non-coding RNA, 29 nt
Filed under: Rattus norvegicus (Norway rat)
Lineage: Eukaryota; Metazoa; Chordata; Mammalia; Rodentia; Muridae
Source: RNAcentral